GGUCCCAUAGUGUAGUGGUUAGCACCCUGGACUUUGAAUCCAGUAACCUGAGUUCGAAUCUCAGUGGGACCG
Allomyces macrogynus ATCC 38327 is the source of this 72-nucleotide transfer RNA. It matches the Rfam family "tRNA". From Rfam's summary of the family: Transfer RNA (tRNA) molecules are approximately 80 nucleotides in length. Lineage: Eukaryota; Fungi; Blastocladiomycota; Blastocladiomycetes; Blastocladiales; Blastocladiaceae. The record is from Rfam.